GAGCCGCGGGCAGUUCGGACAGCCGGGCAGGAAGUGAAACAGCGAGAGCAUCCAGUCAGUUUACCAAAAGACACCCCCCAAUAUCGUUUAUGUCACGGACAAUGAGAGAUUCAUCUUAGAGGUUGAAAAACAUAAUAGACAUCACAAAUCCUUUUUAUAAGGACAACACCAGAAAAGAGAAGGCAUGGAGUGUAACUGUAGGAGUGCCUGGAGUAGAAGGUAGAUAUUAGCUUAAUAAACACCUGAUUGUUCUGGAAAGUACUUGUACAGACAAUGAAAUCUGUGAGUCAGGCAGCAAGACGCUCCGCUUCCGAAACGCCCCCGGUGUGG
Molecule: long non-coding RNA, 330 nt
Organism: Sander lucioperca (pikeperch)
Lineage: Eukaryota; Metazoa; Chordata; Actinopteri; Perciformes; Percidae
Exons: 2
Source: RefSeq, a predicted model, not a curated record